RNAcentral lists this ribosomal RNA (667 nucleotides) under Alexandrium tamarense. RNAcentral's name for it is "eukaryotic LSU rRNA". It matches the Rfam family "Eukaryotic large subunit ribosomal RNA", at positions 43 to 651 of the family's 3401-position model. Lineage: Eukaryota; Dinophyceae; Gonyaulacales; Pyrocystaceae. The record is from RNAcentral.
UAAGUAAGUGGUGGAAAUUAAACCAAAUGGGAUAUCUUUAGUAAUUGCGAAUGAACAAGGAUAUGCUUAGCUUGACAAAUGGAGCUAUUGGCUUUGAAUUGUAUUUGUGGAAUGUAUUACCAACAGAGGUGCAGGUGCCAGCCUAUUAAAUAAAGCGUCAAUGAGGGUGAGAAUCCUGUUUGUCAUGUGCAGCCCUUUGUGCACGGUGUAUAUUUGCUGAGUCACACUCCUUGGCAUUGGAAUGCAAAGUGGGUGGUAAGUUUCAUGUACAGGUAAACAUGCAAUUGAGACUGAUAGCACACAAGUACCAUGAGGGAAAUAUGAAAAGGACUUUGAAAAGAGAAUUAAAUUAGUUUGUAUUUGCUGAACACAAAGUAAACAGACUUGAUUUGCUUGGUGGGAGUGUUGCACUUGCUUGACAAGAGCUUUGGGCUGUGGGUGUAAUGAUUCUUUCUUUGCAUGCCAGUUUCUAUGUGUACAUCUGAUUACCUUUGCACAUGAAUGAUAAGUCUCCUGUGGGGGGUGGAUUGCAUGUGCAUGUAAUGAUUUGUGUUUUGAUAAAUGUGUCUGGUGUAUGUGUGUGUGUUCCUGUGCUUGGGGAUGCUUCCUUCCUUGGACUUACAGGCCCCGACACACACAUGCUGGCAAAAUGCUUCUGCUUGACCCG